Sitophilus oryzae (rice weevil) is the source of this 992-nucleotide long non-coding RNA. RefSeq lists it as uncharacterized. The record is from RefSeq and is a predicted model, not a curated record. NCBI's taxonomy places the organism in Eukaryota, Metazoa, Arthropoda, Insecta, Coleoptera, Curculionidae. The transcript is spliced from 4 exons.
UCUUAAAAUGGAAAAUACAACACAGCAAGAUAUUUAAAAAAUUUAUAGAGUUUGUGAUUUACAUUUUUGUAAUCAAGAUCGUACCUGGAAUAAAAAGAGGUUUAGAAGUUAAUUCUAAAGUUUUUAUAUACACCAGUUCAUAUGGAUGAUCAACCUACUGGUAAUUUGGUGUCCGGUGAUGUCGAUCCAGGUACAAACCCUGUAUUUAAAGACAAACAUUUGUUGUAGAACUUGUUGGUGGACCACUUUCUCGUUGGUAUUAGCCAUGUACUGUUACCUGAGAUAAAAGCAGUAACUGAAAAGGAGAAAGGAUCAGAUAAUCCAAAUCAGGAAUCUUCCAGAGUGCAGAUGAUGCAGUUUUUGUGAGUGAGGUAUAAGAUCUGUCUCUUGUUUACAACCAAGUUAGAUCUCAAGCAUAGCAAAGGAAUCGUCCAACCUGUGAAUUCAGUUUAAUUACUGAGAUCAAGGAUGAUGAAACAUUCAUUAUGAUUACACAGAGCUACAAAGAGUUAUGUUGAGAAUCCAAAUUAUCAUAAUGAAUUGAGACGAGACAACGCCUGGGUGGAAAUUGAGGAAAAAUGUAGAUAAAAGGCAUUUUUAUAUUAACGUUAUGAAUCCAAUAUUUUUAGCAAAUCGUCACAUAGAUAAUAUUUCUCUACGCAUAAUACUAAAAUUAAAAAGGUCAGGUUAAAACAACUUUAAUUAUCCAUCGCGUGCGAAAAACAGUGCUUCGCAUGACUUCGGCUUCGGCGGGCUUCGCUGAAGUGCUCAUCAUGCUUUAAACUUUUGCGAAGCGCCAAAAUGUCAUUGGAUUAAUUGCAUGUAUUUUGAUUCUUCGCGUUACUUCGCUUUAAUCCAUGGGUCUGCAUUUUUAUACAUAGAUACCAUUGAUCCAAUUCACAUUUUUUCGCCGCGCUUCGAAUAAGUUCGCGACAAAACUUGGUUAGUUGUAUUUUAUAUUAUUUAAUAUUAUUGUAUUGAUUUAUAAUUAU